GGGCCUAUGGCGCAAUUGGUAGCGCGUAGUAAGUUUCAAUCGUAAGGUUGUCCGAUCGAGCCGGGCUGGGCUCA
RNAcentral lists this transfer RNA (74 nucleotides) under Aspergillus luchuensis IFO 4308. RNAcentral describes it as "tRNA-Glu (TTC) (tRNA-Glu-TTC-4-1)". The record is from RNAcentral. Lineage: Eukaryota; Fungi; Ascomycota; Eurotiomycetes; Eurotiales; Aspergillaceae.